RNAcentral lists this ribosomal RNA (568 nucleotides) under Pichia kluyveri. Its description in RNAcentral is "eukaryotic LSU rRNA". It matches the Rfam family "Eukaryotic large subunit ribosomal RNA", at positions 62 to 648 of the family's 3401-position model. Lineage: Eukaryota; Fungi; Ascomycota; Pichiomycetes; Pichiales; Pichiaceae. The record is from RNAcentral.
AAACCAACAGGGAUUGCCUCAGUAGCGGCGAGUGAAGCGGCAAGAGCUCAGAUUUGAAAUCUCACCUAGUGUGCGAGUUGUAAAUUGCAGGUUGGAGUCUCGGGUUAGACGUGUGUGCAAGUCCCUUGGAACAGGGUGCCACUGAGGGUGAGAGCCCCGUAUCGUGCAUGUCGACACCUGUGAGGCCCUUCUGACGAGUCGAGUUGUUUGGGAAUGCAGCUCUAAGUGGGUGGUAAAUUCCAUCUAAGGCUAAAUAUUGGCGAGAGACCGAUAGCGAACAAGUACUGUGAAGGAAAGAUGAAAAGCACUUUGAAAAGAGAGUGAAACAGCACGUGAAAUUGUUGAAAGGGAAGGGUAUUGGGCUCGACAUGGGAUUUACGCAUCGUUGCCUCUCGUGGGCGGCGCUCUGGGUUUUUCCUGGGCCAGCAUCGGUUUUCGUUGCAGGAUAAGGACAAUUGGAAUGUGGCUCCUCGGAGUGUUAUAGCCUUUUGUAGAUGCUGCGUAUGGGGACCGAGGGCUGCGGCGGACUCGUUUCGUCUCGGAUGCUGGCACAACGGCGCAAUACCGC